Molecule: non-coding RNA, 115 nt
Organism: Triticum aestivum (bread wheat)
Lineage: Eukaryota; Viridiplantae; Streptophyta; Magnoliopsida; Poales; Poaceae
Source: Rfam
GAGGUACUCCCUCCGUUCCAAAUUACUCGUCGCUUAAAUUGAUGUAUCUAGAACUAAAAUACAUCUAGAUACGUCCAUAUGUGCAACAAGUAAUUUGGAACGGAGGGAGUAGUAG